This 117-nucleotide non-coding RNA is filed under the name unclassified sequences. The record is from Rfam.
AAGCGCAGAAGCAUAGCAGCGUACCGGCAAGCCUUGUUAUGCGAAGCUUUCAGUAGGGGUUGUGCAGCAACCUCAAGCCGGAGUAGGCGCAGCUUGCGCCGAACGAAAAUGCUCAAA